ACUCCUACGGGAGGCAGCAGUGAGGAAUAUUGCGCAAUGGACGGAAGUCUGACGCAGCAACGCCGCGUGGGCGAUGAAGGCCUUCGGGUCGUAAAGCCCUUUUCUGAGGGACGAGGAAGGACGGUACCUCAGGAAUAAGCCUCGGCUAACUACGUGCCAGCAGCCGCGGUAAAACGUAGGAGGCGAGCGUUAUCCGGAUUUAUUGGGCGUAAAGCGCAUGCAGGUGGUUCCACAAGUCGGAUGUGAAAGCUCCUGGCUUAACUGGGAGAGGUCGUUCGAAACUGUGGGACUGGAGGUCGGAAGAGGGAAGCGGAAUUCCCGGUGUAGUGGUGGAAUGCGUAGAUAUCGGGAGGAACACCAGUGGCGGAAGCGGCUUCCUGGUCCGCACCUGACACUCAGAUGCGAAAGCGUGGGGAGCGAACAGGAUUAGAUACCCUGGUAGUCCACGCUGUAAACGAUGGGUACUGGGUAUCGGUGGUAUUGACCCCAUCGGUGCCGAAGCUAACGCGUUAAGUACCCCGCCUGGGGACUACGGCCGCAAGGUUAAAACUCAAAUGAAUUGACGG
This 566-nucleotide ribosomal RNA is filed under the name uncultured Dehalococcoides sp. Its description in RNAcentral is "bacterial SSU rRNA". It matches the Rfam family "Bacterial small subunit ribosomal RNA", at positions 335 to 916 of the family's 1533-position model. The record is from RNAcentral. Lineage: Bacteria; Bacillati; Chloroflexota; Dehalococcoidia; Dehalococcoidales; Dehalococcoidaceae.